AGUUUGAUUCCAUGAGCAGGGAAGGCCAGACGAGCCCUUCCAGUGAACCUCUGUGGACGCUAUCAUGACAAGCUGCUGCCCUUCGCUGAAAUAACCCAGCGGACCCGAAAACCAGAUGCCAGACAAAGCUAUUUUUAUGUCUUGCAAACCUAACCCAAGCAACAGCUGCCUGUUGAAAGAGUGAUCGUGGCCUUCACCACAAUGAACACGAGAAACUGCUCAGUCCUGGCGAAUUCUGGAUCUAUCACCCAGGCCAGAGUGCAGUGGCAUGAUCUUGGCUCACUGCAACCUCUGCCUCCCAGGCUGAAGCCAUCCUCCUACCUCAGCCUCCAGAGUAGCUGGGACUACAGGCGUGUGCCACCAUGCCCAGCUAAUUUUUGGUUUUUUGGGUUUUUUUUUUUUCUGUAGAGACAGGAUCUCACUUUGUUGCCCAGGCUGAUCUUGAACUCCUGAGUAAGAGCUUUGUCCUAAUAAUUAAUAAUACCAAUAAUGCCUUCCACUAUAAGCAUCUUGUUUACAAGUAUCCCAUUUCACACAUGAGAAUCCAAUGUCCAGAGAGGUGGAGUGACUUGUUUGAAGUCACACAGCUUGGAGGUAUACAUGGCAUUCGACCCUGGGCUACCUGACUCUAAAGCUAGAUUUGUCAUAGGCGGAGGUGACCAGGUCGUUGAUUCAAUUGUUUAAUGGGCUACCCUAUUGGAUUGGUGGAAUCAGAGCCUGAAAAAGACACCCAAAAGAGGGUCAGCAGUUUUCAAACUUACAACAUGUCAGAGCAUCUGGGUCUUCAGGGAAUCCCAGCCAGUACUGCUAGAGUAAGCAAAAGAUUACUACAUCUCUGGUUUUGUGCCAAAUCCCAAACCAUUCCAUCCUAGAGUACGGGUGUACAGCAUUCAAGGCCUCUGAUUUUGGAACAACUUCAGGGAGCAAAACAUAUUUAAGAGAAGCCUGUACAUUUCAGCUUCUCCCUCAGCCAGGAAAUUACUCAAAUGAUUGAGUCUCCCAGGGCCCUCUGAGAGUAUAGACCCAGAAAGAUGCACAUCCACAAUGCCUGGUACACUGUAGGUGCUCAAUUAAUGCCUGUUGAGACAAACCAAACUUCUUUUUUCUUUCUUUUUAUUUUUUAUUUUUUUUGUGUGUGUAGAGACAAGGUCUCUCUCUGUCACCCAGGCUGGAGUCCAGUGGCACAAUUGUAACUGACAGCAGCCUCGAACUCCUGGGAUCAAGCAAUCCUCCUGUUUUAGCCUCCCAAAUAGCUGGGACUACAGGUGCACACCACGACAUCUAGCUAAUCUUUUUUAUAUUUUGUAGAGAUAGGGUCUUUCUGUGUUGCCCAGGCUGGUCUUGAACUCCUGUCCUCAAGCAAUCUUCCCACCUCUUCCUCCCAAAGUUCUGGGAUUACAGGCAUAAGCCACCAUGCCUGGUUCAGAUCAAAUUCUUGAUGUGGUGAAUCUGCCAUCCCAAGCAAAACUGGCCUGAAUGGUUCCAGAUCGGCCCCUGCCUUGAAGGAAGGUAAGAGGAGCCGUUUUUCCACCUCCAAUGGAAAACAUGUUCCGCAGUCUAAAGGCCUAUCAGUCUGAUCUGUCUGGCUAGCCUCUCACUUGAAUUAUCCCUGCAGAAAUUGCUGAAGUCCACUGUUCAGCUCUCCUAAGUUCUGGUCCUUGCCAUCUUCACAGGUGGAAUCCUAUCCUUCUUCGCUUCUCCCCCUGCUGUGCUGUGAAUUUGCCUUCUUCAGCCAUUCACUCAUUCAUCAGCAGGUAUUUCCUGAGCACCUGCCAGGUGUGGUACACGCUGCUGGAGACAUGGAGCAAACAGGCAGGAAUGGCCCAGCCCUGCCCUCGUGGGUUUAUGAUCUCACUGGGAAGCAAAUAAAAUCACAAACCUGAGGGCACAACCAGGAGAAUCGCCAUGAACUCGUGAUGGAUCAGGUUUUGCACCAAAAUGUAAGUCAUUUUUGAGUGUGAAACCAAGAACCCUCUGGGCGACACAGUGCAUUGGUUAGAGCACGAGAUCUGGAUUCAGGUUCUAUUUCUGCUGUUCAUUUCCUGUGUGACCUUGAACAAGUUUCCUCACCUCUCUGAGCUUGGGUUUUCUCAUGUAUACAAUGAUAAGGAAGUCUUCCUCAUACAGUUUUGGAGUUUAAGUAAACUAAUACAGAUCAAGUCAUUGAUGAAAGAGUGUGCUACCAUUUAUGGUGCUCUCCAUCAUGUACCAAGCAUUGCGCUAAGUGAUUUACCUAAGAUCAAGUUCAAGCCACUGUUAUAUCUCACUUGGGCCACUGCGAAAGUCUCUUGACCUGUCUCUCUGGCCUGGUCUUGUCCCUCCAGUUCAUCAUGCACAGAGAAGCCAAGGCGAUCUUGUAAAAAUUCCACAGACAUCGUUAGUGUCCAGAUUAUAAUGUCUCUAAGAACAUUUCCCACUGAAAGGAACCAGGACUCCUUGGAGAAAUGUCUGAUUCUAGGGCUGGGGCAGAAAUGUACAUGAUGAGCUGAGAUAUCUUCUUGCCUGAAAACAAGGACCCUCCAGGGGCAUGGGCUACCAAAGAGAGGCUGCAAACGGAUGAUGACUGCAGUGGAUUGAAACACAUCAAAAUAUCUUUAAAAACCAUAAGGUCGUAACACCCCUCAAAACAAAAACAACUCGUUGAUACUUUUCAUGGCUGCUAGGGCUACUCAUUACUCUGAAAAUAGACUUAGCCCCGCCCACACACAAAAAAAGGACAUAAUCAACCAUGUACUCUGCCUUUCAGGGACUGUAUUUCAGGGUAAGCAAAUGCUUGAGGAAAGUCGUGUGGUAGAGAACAAUGAGAGUUGGGCCGGGCACAGUGGCUCAUGCCUGUAAUGCCAGCUCUUUGGAAGGCCAAGGCGGGAGUAUCGUUUGAGCUCAGGUUUGAGACCAGCCUGGGCAAUGUAGUGAAACCUCAUCUCUAUCAAAAAUACAUAAAAUUAGCCAGGCAUGGUGGCGAGCGCCUGUGGUCCCAGCUACUCAAGAGGCUGAGGCAGGAGGAUCGCUUGAACCUGACAAGUUGAGGUUGCAGUGAGCCAAGAUUGUGCCACUGCACUCUAGCCUGGAUGACAGAGAGAGACCCUGUCUCAAAACAAACAAACAAAACCAGAAACAACAACAACAACAACAAAAAACAACAAGAGCUAAUAAGCACAGAAAGAUUGACGGAAGUAGAAAAUCACUAUAGUAACGAAACAAUAAUCUGGGCUUUGCUCAUCAGCAGGCAGUAAAGUCAUUCGGCAAGAGGGUGAUAGGGAACUUUACGACGGAGGUCAGACUGAUACCCUAAACUCACUAAUGAACAAAAAUCACUAAAAGUGGGGUAACUGAACUUUAUGUUCUUGACGUGAUGCAAGAGAAAACAGAAAAACACCUUCAAAGUAUUCCUGCUAAGGAUCUGCACCUGAAUUGAUUCAAGCCUCUUGACCUAGUACUUAUUUAUAGGUAUAGAAGAACAUGUUAGAUGACACUUGGAAGAUGCAAUCAGCCAAAUCCAGAAUAUGGAAAAUUCUACGGGACAAAUGACCCAGUUUCAAUAAGUAACUGGCAUUUAAUAAAGGGAGUUGCUGAUUAUUACAGAUGAGGAGACUUAAGAGAAACCCUGUGGGUCCUGAUUUGAAUAAAACCAUUCAAAGACAUCUUUGAGCCACCUGGAGGACAGUCAGCAUGAACUAGGUGAACUCUACUUUGAAGUAACAAGUCACUGAAUCACAAAUUCAGAGGAAGCAUGAGAACAAGGUAUUCCAGGCCGGGUGCAGUGGCUCAUGCCCGUAAUCCCAGCACUUUGGGAGGCCAAGGUGAGCAGAU
This 3810-nucleotide long non-coding RNA is filed under the name Homo sapiens (human). RNAcentral describes it as "HSALNT0370410". The record is from RNAcentral. Lineage: Eukaryota; Metazoa; Chordata; Mammalia; Primates; Hominidae.